AUGGUCUUAGCUUGCUAAGGCCGAUGGCGACCGGCGCACGGGUGAGUAACACGUAUCCAACCUGCCGUCUACUCUUGGACAGCCUUCUGAAAGGAAGAUUAAUACAAGAUGGCAUCAUGAGUCCGCAUGUUCACAUGAUUAAAGGUAUUCCGGUAGACGAUGGGGAUGCGUUCCAUUAGAUAGUAGGCGGGGUAACGGCCCACCUAGUCUUCGAUGGAUAGGGGUUCUGAGAGGAAGGUCCCCCACAUUGGAACUGAGACACGGUCCAAACUCCUACGGGAGGCAGCAGUGAGGAAUAUUGGUCAAUGGGCGAGAGCCUGAACCAGCCAAGUAGCGUGAAGGAUGACUGCCCUAUGGGUUGUAAACUUCUUUUAUAAAGGAAUAAAGUCGGGUAUGCAUACCCGUUUGCAUGUACUUUAUGAAUAAGGAUCGGCUAACUCCGUGCCAGCAGCCGCGGUAAUACGGAGGAUCCGAGCGUUAUCCGGAUUUAUUGGGUUUAAAGGGAGCGUAGAUGGAUGUUUAAGUCAGUUGUGAAAGUUUGCGGCUCAACCGUAAAAUUGCAGUUGAUACUGGAUAUCUUGAGUGCAGUUGAGGCAGGCGGAAUUCGUGGUGUAGCUGUGAAAUGCUUAGAUAUCACGAAGAACCCCGAUUGCGAAGGCAGCUUGCUAAACUGUAACUGACGUUCAUGCUCGAAAGUGUGGGUAUCAAACAGGAUUAGAUACCCUGGUAGUCCACACGGUAAACGAUGGAUACUCGCUGUUGGCGAUAUACUGUCAGCGGCCAAGCGAAAGCAUUAAGUAUCCCACCUGGGGAGUACGCCGGCAACGGUGAAACUCAAAUGAACUGAC
Molecule: ribosomal RNA, 848 nt
Filed under: uncultured bacterium
Lineage: Bacteria
Description: bacterial SSU rRNA
Rfam family: Bacterial small subunit ribosomal RNA
Source: RNAcentral